UUUCUGGGUGAAAACAGCUUUUGUUAAGAUCUGAAGUAUUUUUAAAUUCUACACAUACUCAGAAAUAAUAUGAGGUAAUAAGAAUGUUAAAAAUAUAGAGUGCAUAAACUGUAAAGUGAAAAUUCCCAGUGGUGAUGGCUAACAAUUUUUUGUUCAGAUGUCCUGAAUUGUUUUUCUGUUCAUGUACACACAUACACACACACACACACACACACACACCCCUCAAUGUUUUCAACUUGCCUUUGAUAGUUACUAGAUAUUGCCAUACUUCUUUAUUAUUACUUAUAAAUCUGCCUCAUCUUUAACUACUAUUGAAAGACAUUUAAGCUGUUGUUAUUUUAAUUUUUUCUUAUUACAAGCACCGUAACAGUGAACAGGCUUUGAGCACUGGGAGAGCACUUCAGGGAAUCUAUCCACUGAAGAAUAAAUCUCUUUGAGUGAAAUUGCUGCAUUUAACAGGUAGCUCCUGGGAGCAGAAAAAUUCAAGCAGGCUGUCGUGUAGGCUGGAUUCCCACCUACUGCCUGAAGAGACUGGAACAUGGACAUGGAACAGCAUUUCUGCAUGGAAUCUUUUAUUUUUCUUCUCUGGCUUUGAAAUUUGCAUUUGUUUUAUAAAAAUAAGCUGGUUCAAAAACA
Callithrix jacchus (white-tufted-ear marmoset) is the source of this 636-nucleotide long non-coding RNA. RefSeq lists it as uncharacterized. NCBI's taxonomy places the organism in Eukaryota, Metazoa, Chordata, Mammalia, Primates, Cebidae. The record is from RefSeq and is a predicted model, not a curated record.